CCUACGGGAGGCAGCAGUAGGGAAUUUUCCGCAAUGGGCGAAAGCCUGACGGAGCAAUACCGCGUGAGGGAUGACUGCCUAUGGGUUGUAAACCUCUUUUUUCAGGGAGGAAUAAAUGACGUGUACCUGAAGAAUAAGCAUCGGCUAACUCCGUGCCAGCAGCCGCGGUAAGACGGAGGAUGCAAGUGUUAUCCGGAAUCACUGGGCGUAAAGCGUCUGUAGGUGGCUCGACAAGUCAACUGUUAAAUCUUGAAGCUCAACUUCAAAAUCGCAGUCGAAACUAUCGGACUAGAGUAUAGUAGAGGUAAAGGGAAUUUCCAGUGGAGCGGUGAAAUGCGUAGAGAUUGGAAAGAACACCGAUGGCGAAGGCACUUUACUGGGCUAUUACUGACACUCAGAGACGAAAGCUAGGGUAGCAAAUGGGAUUAGAUACCCCAGUAGUCCUAGCCGUAAACAAUGGAUACUAGGUGUUGAACAGAUCGACCUGUGCAGUACCAAAGCUAACGCGUUAAGUAUCCCGCCUGGGAAGUAUGCACGCAAGUGUGAAACUUAAGGAAUUGACGG
RNAcentral lists this ribosomal RNA (564 nucleotides) under uncultured bacterium. RNAcentral's name for it is "bacterial SSU rRNA". It matches the Rfam family "Bacterial small subunit ribosomal RNA", at positions 338 to 916 of the family's 1533-position model. The record is from RNAcentral.